This 378-nucleotide ribosomal RNA is filed under the name uncultured Planctomycetota bacterium. RNAcentral describes it as "bacterial SSU rRNA". It matches the Rfam family "Bacterial small subunit ribosomal RNA", at positions 521 to 896 of the family's 1533-position model. The record is from RNAcentral. Lineage: Bacteria; Pseudomonadati; Planctomycetota.
UAAUACGUAUGGUGCGAACGUUGUUCGGAAUCACUGGGCAUAAAGAGCACGUAGGCGGUUCGGUUAGUCUGUAUGUGAAAUCCCUCGGCUCAACCGAGGAACUGCAUCGGAAACUCCCGAACUAUAGUGCAGGAGGGGAGAGCGGAAUUCCUGGUGGAGCGGUGAAAUGCGUAGAUAUCAGGAGGAACGCCGGUGGCGAAAGCGGCUCUCUGGUCUGCUACUGACGCUGAGGUGCGAAAGCCAGGGGAGCGAACGGGAUUAGAUACCCCGGUAGUCCUGGCCCUAAACGAUGGGCACUAGGUAGGGGGAGUACCGAUACUUUCUCUGCUGUAGCUAAUGUAUUAAGUGCCCCGCCUGGGGAGUAUGGUCGCAAGGCUA